This 272-nucleotide ribosomal RNA is filed under the name uncultured prokaryote. RNAcentral describes it as "partial 16S ribosomal RNA". It matches the Rfam family "Bacterial small subunit ribosomal RNA", at positions 524 to 794 of the family's 1533-position model. The record is from RNAcentral.
CACGUAGGAGGCAAACGUUAUCCGGAUUUACUGGGCGUAAAGCGCGUGUAGGUGGUUCUGUAAGUAGGGCGUGAAAGCUCCCGGCUCAACUGGGAGAGGCCGUUCUAAACUGCAGAGCUAGAGGAUGGUAGAGGGAGGUGGAAUUCCAGGUGUAGCGGUGGAAUGCGCAGAUAUCUGGAGGAACACCAGUGGCGAAGGCGGCCUCCUGGACCAUUCCUGACACUCAGACGCGAAAGCUAGGGUAGCAAACGGGAUUAGAUACCCCACGUAGU